Molecule: long non-coding RNA, 782 nt
Organism: Sebastes umbrosus (honeycomb rockfish)
Lineage: Eukaryota; Metazoa; Chordata; Actinopteri; Perciformes; Sebastidae
Exons: 3
Source: RefSeq, a predicted model, not a curated record
AGUGUUUCAGAUGGAGGGUGAAAAGAGGUGCUACGACAUAACCAGUAUGAGAAAAAUAAAGCUUUUUUUGAACAUUAAAGCAUCUAAACAUGUUCUAGUAGAAACCCAUAAUACAAGUAUAGCACCUGAAAAAUGAGCAUAGGUCCUCUUUAAAUAAUGUUCUUAUCCUUGAAGGACUAUGUGUGAUUUGCUUCACGUGCGACAGCAUCAAGAAUCGAAGUGUUAACCUCAUCCACGCAGAGCGGGCAAAUUAAAUCGGGGCACGUCUAGCGUGGCUGCUGCAGCAGCAACUCCUCAUCAUCGAUCCGUCUGGCAGGCUGUUUGCCAAUGACACGCACAGCGCUUUCACAGAAGUCAUAAACAAACAAGUAUUCACCACCCUACAUAGCAGAACAGCUUGUUGGUGUAAUUGCUCAAGUACAACCACCAGGUGGCCUCGAACAGCCAGAGCUCUCACCUGUGGUGCAGGUCACUCUAACUUGACUAAGAGGCCUGCUGGGUUCUCCCAAAGCCUCAUCUUCACUUCCUACCAGCCUGGACUCUACUGUUGAAACGACAGUUUAUCACCUCACUCCCAGCUGUACGUAAGCCCACAUUUACGCUUUCAUACACAGACAACUCCCUUGAAGUAGGAUUCCCCGCUGAGUAACAAAGACAGAAGGAAGUCCUUCAGAAGGUUUGAGAGAAACAGUGGAGGCAGAGUUCAAGAAAACAGGAAGCUAAGGAGAGUGCAAAGUUGCUCUGCACCAAAACAUUAAAAAAACACCUACAGCCCCAACAGG